GGAGGAUAAAGAAAAGAAAGUUGAGGAAGUAGAAAAAGAGAGUGAAGAGAAAAAAAGAAGAGAGUGGAGAUAAAAAGAAAAAGCAAGAGGAGAGAAAAGAAGAGGAUGAAAGUAAGAAAGAUGAGGGUGUGAAAAAUGAGAAAAAGAAAGAGGAAGUUGAAGGAAAGAAGAGAGAAAUUGAGAAACCACUUCCAUACCCGAAAAUCUACUAUAGAAAGGAGAAGGAGAAACAAUAUGGGCGGUUCGUGGAUAUUUUCA
This 258-nucleotide long non-coding RNA is filed under the name Vigna radiata. RNAcentral's name for it is "long non-coding RNA (VRAD_LNC004130)". The record is from RNAcentral. Lineage: Eukaryota; Viridiplantae; Streptophyta; Magnoliopsida; Fabales; Fabaceae.